Acinonyx jubatus (cheetah) is the source of this 5317-nucleotide long non-coding RNA. RefSeq lists it as uncharacterized. NCBI's taxonomy places the organism in Eukaryota, Metazoa, Chordata, Mammalia, Carnivora, Felidae. The transcript is spliced from 2 exons. The record is from RefSeq and is a predicted model, not a curated record.
AGUUUCUCCAAUGGGGAUGGCAUGCCAGAUACACUCAAGUGCCAAGGGUACACGUCAACACAUAACCUUGCAACUCUGGAUUCUCUCCUGGAGCCACGCAAUUGGUCUCUCCUAGAACUCGGGCGCCAGACUUUAGGAGGUAUGCCCGGAGUUCGGAAUGACUGCGUCCUGAAGGCCCAAGGCUCCCUCUGACGUGGGAAACAGGGACGCGGUGCCCUGACCCUCACAGGCCCAACGACACCCAUCAGACACCCAGGGUUUCUGCAGCCCUGGCUGCACCCGGCACUUCUCUCCAAGAGGCAAGGGAAGGACACUCGCCAUCUUCCCCCGGAGGAUGAAGACAAAGAAACUUUGAGCCACCUCCUCCUGCCUCUACAAGGCUGGAAAAGAUUCUGGACUCCUCUAGAGCCACAUUCCAGCCUCCUGCCUCUACGUCUGGCGGGGGCUUCAGGGUGCUCACGACGCCUCCAGGGAAGGGUCGGCCACAAAAGGGGAAAGCCACAGACUGAACGUCUGCAUUAGGGCAGGAGAGCGCUUUAAGUGGGGGCACCUAGCAGCCGACCGACGCUCCUCUCCCGGCAGGAGGCUCCAUUAAGACGUGGUGUUUGUUCAGGCUCAAGGCCCCAGCUGCUUAAUAGGUUCCAGAAGGGCUCACAGGAGUAGCGUUCUAGGGAGGCCCCGGGGAGCCUCAGGCCCCUCGCCCCGCCCCUCCUCCGCAGGGACCGGGAUCUCGGCGCCCGCCGCCCCCUCCGCCCAGCCCAGCAGCACCGGCCCGCCACCUGCAGCGGUGGGCUGCGCGGCGGAGGGGGCGGCGCAGUGGGAGCUGGACCCGCCCCCACCUCCCCUCCCCACCCUCGGGCUGGGCGGGCCGGCCGCGCACAAUAACCCGCCGCCGGGGCCGGGGGAGACCAUUGUGCCGGCCGAGCCCGGCGGGGGAGGGGGGGGCUUCGCGGGGGAGGAAGCGUCCGAGGAGGUGGGGGGCGCCCGGGGGGGGGGGGCGACGGCGCCCACCGGCUGUUGUCGCCCCGGGGGCCGGGGCGGUUGGGGCGGCCGCGGGGCCGCUACCUUUGGCGAGCGCCACGGUGGAGUUGUCCGUGUCGAUGGUGUAGAGGAUGCCCUCGUAGCGGAUUUGCGCCUUGGAGAUGAGGCUGAUCUUGCUGCCCAGAGAUUAUAGCUGUGCUGCCCAUCUCGUCAGUGCUGGUGAGGAGCCUGGAAGACCGUGCCCGUGGGGGCCUUGGCAGGGGCCAGGAGCCCACCGCCUGGGCCCACCCAACGGGAAGCUGGCUGUGCCGAGGACCACCCACUGCAAACAUGAGCCGCUUACCUAAGCACCUGCUGUGUGUAUGGAGAGGAGUGAAGCAGGCCCUCAUGAGGACAGGUGUGAAUAUGUGGACGUGGGACGCCUCCUGGGUCCCAUCACAGGCUGGCAGCGUCACACGGCCAGCGUCCUGCAAGAGGAGGGCACGUUGCCACAGCAUAUCACUGGGACUCUGAUGUCCCCCUGAGGAAGUAUGGGCCACGUGACCGUGGGUAUGCUAGGUAUCACUGCUUGCUAGGAGCAAAACGUAACAGGUGAGUUGAUUCAAAGACACGUCAGUGAUGGGUGAUCUACAGAGCAAGUCAAGUCAGUGGCCUGAAGCGUGGCAGCAUGCCAGCGGGGCAGGACCUCACCCGUCUCCUGAGGCUGGCACAAGGGAGGCGGGUGCUCGCUUCUGGGGAAGCCCUGGCCCAGCUGCAGGUAGCGCCGCCCGGAGGCAGCCGAGAGUACAGGCGGGCUGGGCGCAGAGAUCAGGGCUGGCUUUGAAGGUGCCACCUACUAGGCCUUCCCAGCAGGGAAAGGGGCUGGAGGCCCGGGGUGUUGGGGGUGUUCGGUGGCCGGAGGAGCCGGGAGGGAAAAGACUGGAAGGGGAUCUUGUUCUUCCGGAGCCAAGAAUUCUGAGGUCUGACCUGCUCUCUGUGAAUCCUGUUGAAAUCCAUUUCCUCCUGCCCAGGGCCCUACAGGGCUGUUUUCCUUAGAAACACGAGGAGCACCAGUAGGUGAGGGCCUGAGGUUCAUGCAUCUUGUUCCCCCUCUCCCUUCCCCUCCCCCUGCCCUCUCCCCUCCCCUCCCCUCCCUCUCCACCCUUUCCCAGUUAAGCACUCUGGUGUGAGGGAGCUAGGGAGUGAGAAGUCCAAGAAAAACAUUAGGGCCCCGACCCCAGCAAGCCACAGCCACCUUUCCCGGCUUCCCGCUGGGCAGAGGGCUGAGCAGAGUUGGCUCCCCGAGGGGAGCUGCCCCUCAGAAGUUCAGAGGGAAACGCUUCGAGAUUCUGGAAAUAGGAGAGGGCACCAGAGGAGGCCCGAGGGGCUUCUCUCCUGAUGGCCAACUCCGCUGCUGCUCCCCAAAGCUUGAAGAGUGGGGACAGUGUGGGGGGACAUGUUCCUGGGCCUCACCGCUGGAACACCGCCCGGGGCCUCCUGGCUGUGGGCUCUCCCAGCGUUUGAGAUGUCUAGACCCCACCUCAGAGAGACGAGCACUGAAUGUGCAAGGAGCUGCUCACGCGGGACCAGCGCACAGAAGAACCCAGUCAUGCCCCGUCCCGGAUCCCUGCCUGCGGGGCCCUGGCGGUGAGGGUGACAGCCUGGGUGGGGUACGGGCGGCCUCAGGACCGCCGCCGGAGCCAUCCUCAGCCACAGGGCCCUGCCACCUCUUCCCUCUGCCUGGGGCCCCUCUCGGCCUUUCCAGGGAAGAGGAGACAUCCAGGCCGAGAGGGGCCCGGAGGGACAGCCUCCCGGCAGGUGAGGGGGUGGUUGGGGGUGGCCUGCUGAGGACAGAGCUGGACAGCAAAGUGGCAGAUGGCCUGGGGGUGGCUCCUGGUUCCCCCUCCCCUGCUAGUUGGUGGGGGCCCCUGAUGGUGCCACCCUGCCCCCCACCAGCCUGAGAGCCCUUGCACAGCCGGCUUGGCUCGAGGGGAGCGUGCCAUUGUUGUCUGUCGGGCUCAGCUUACAGGGGCCGUGAGAGCGGCCAGCACAGCGAGUCGGUCCGGGCCGCCUGCCGGCCACCUGGACCUUGUCCCCUGACAGUUCCCGAGGGAAGAGGGAAAGGACGACCAAGUGGCCAAGGCCACAGCUGAGGGUGAGGAGAGGGGAUGUGACGAGCAGGGAAGGGGGGUGUAUGGCCCCGUGCCCCUAAAAGAUGGCUCUGAGGACCCAGCGACAGUGCGUCUGCUCACCAGCAGUUGUGCCCCAGAACGCUUUCGCAGUGAAACCGGAAACCCCCGGGCCUGCUGGCAGCAGAUUGGACCUUUGAUGGCAGCGUGUGCCCUGCUGGAAGAUUCUGGGGCACUGAGUGUGAGUGGAACUGGGCUGCAGGGACAGGGUGGCAAGAGAAAGAGACGGAAAACGAUGGCCUGACCCCCUGCACGUAGGCUCAGGGAAGCACGCCCGCGCUGUUACGGUGGCGGUCACUAGGGGCCUAAGGGCUCGAAGGAGCCCGCGUGGCUUUGGGAGCCAGCCACGCAUGGCUACUGGUUACACAGGUGCAUUACAUUUGUGGAUAUCCGUGGAGCUGAACACACGUGAGCUGAGCACUCCUGUGCGCAUGUCUAUCACACUUGGAAAGAAAGUAAACGGAGAGCCUUGUUCCAGGGCAACCCACUAUGCUUUUACUAAGUGCCCACAACGGCCAGUGUUUGCUGAGCUGCCCCGUGCCGGCACCGAUGCCCGCCCGGUCACGCGUUCCCCUCCCCUGACCCCGGUCCCGGGCCUCGGAUGUGUGACACCGCACCUUCAGUGGGGAGGCGGCCAGCCAGGUGCUCGGCCAGAGGCACACGACCAGCAGCUAGCAGGGCCGGGGUUCCCUUUGGAGCGUCAGGCUGCUGGCCUGCGCGCCGUGCCCCACAGCCCUCAGCCCUGGGGGUCAGGGACCAGAAGUGACUUUUGUGCUCAAGGAGCUCACCCUUCCAAGGUGUCCCGGAUGGGGGCUGCCCUGAGGCUGGAGCUGGGCAUUUGGGGAAGCAGUUACUUCUUCAAGGCUCUGUCCUCACCGCGCAUCCUCGGCAGUUGCCAUGGAAACCCACAGGCUUACCCGGAGCGUCCUAGGAUGCCUGCUGCAAGCCGACUCCAAGGCUGGGCCCUGUGUGCCGGCGGGGCAGAACUGCAGCCCCAAGAACGAAGUAAAGAGGGAGUGGGAGAGACCGCCCAGGCUCCCAAAGCCUGGACUCCGCUGACAGCGCUCCGUAAGCCAACCUGAGUGCCCCUUGUGCGCUUACUAAGACAUUCUCACGGCCCAGUAAAAGGCUGCGGCAUGCGGAUGAGCCAGGCACACAGGUAUUUUCACUUGCGUUAAGGUCUGGGGCGUUAACCCAACAAGCCUUCCCUUCUGCUGCUGCCUUAAACAUCCUGAAUGCAAAGGCUGGAUUCAUGCACCGGGUGGAAAGAAACAAUGUGCACGAGGAGCCUGUAGGUGCCCAGGUGGACACAAGGCAGCACGUGGGCCGGGCUGGGAAGAGGGCUCGUACCCCAGGAAGAUGGCUCCUCAGUACAAGACCGCUUCCAGCUUUUCCAGUAGGUACCAGCGGCUACACAGAGAGGACGGCGCCGGAAACCACAGCCUGUGGCCCAUCUGGUUGCUACAGGCCAUCACAGACCUACGUGAAUGCAUACUUGCCUUUCUCAAGCUCUGGGCCAGGAGAGCCACGUCUGCCUUGGGACUCUUGCUGGGUUUGGGGGCAGAGUGUUUUCACAGACAGCAUUCAGCAUGAACUGCGGGACCUCAGGAUGAUCACUCCAGAGUCUGGUGUCUCCACCAUGGGCCGGACUGGAAUUCAUGCCUUAUUCACUUCCUUAUUUGUUUAAAAGUUUUAUGGACGGGCAUCUGGGUAGCUCAGUGGUUGAGCGUCCGUUUUGGCUCAGGUCAUGAUCUCACGGUUCGUGAGUUCAAGCCCCACAUUGGGCUCGCUGCUGUCAGCACAGAGCGUGCUUGGGAUCUUCUGUCCCUCUCUCUCUCUCUCUCUCUCUCUGCCUCUCCCCUGCGUGUGCAUGCACGUGUGCUCGCUCGCUCACUCUCUCUCAAAAUAAAUCAACAACAACAAAAAAAUGAAACUAAAAAUAAAAAUUUUGAAAUAUUACAUAUCAUAAUAUUCACCCAUUUACAGCAUACAGUUUAGGGGCGCUUGGGUGGCUCAGUCGGUUAAGAGUCUGACUUUGGCUCAGGUCGUGAUCUCACAGUUUGUGAAUUCUAGUCCCACGUUGGAUUCUGUGCUGACAGCUCAGAGCCUGGCACCUGCUUUGGAUUGUGUCUUUCUCUCUACCCUCCCCCACUUGUUCUCUCUUUCUC